RNAcentral lists this ribosomal RNA (1372 nucleotides) under uncultured bacterium. Its description in RNAcentral is "bacterial SSU rRNA". It matches the Rfam family "Bacterial small subunit ribosomal RNA", at positions 28 to 1381 of the family's 1533-position model. The record is from RNAcentral.
GAUGAACGCUGGCGGCGUGCCUAAUACAUGCAAGUCGAGCGAACGGACGAGAAGCUUGCUUCUCUGAUGUUAGCGGCGGACGGGUGAGUAACACGUGGAUAACCUACCUAUAAGACUGGGAUAACUUCGGGAAACCGGAGCUAAUACCGGAUAAUAUUUUGAACCGCAUGGUUCAAAAGUGAAAGACGGUCUUGCUGUCACUUAUAGAUGGAUCCGCGCUGCAUUAGCUAGUUGGUAAGGUAACGGCUUACCAAGGCAACGAUGCAUAGCCGACCUGAGAGGGUGAUCGGCCACACUGGAACUGAGACACGGUCCAGACUCCUACGGGAGGCAGCAGUAGGGAAUCUUCCGCAAUGGGCGAAAGCCUGACGGAGCAACGCCGCGUGAGUGAUGAAGGUCUUCGGAUCGUAAAACUCUGUUAUUAGGGAAGAACAUAUGUGUAAGUAACUGUGCACAUCUUGACGGUACCUAAUCAGAAAGCCACGGCUAACUACGUGCCAGCAGCCGCGGUAAUACGUAGGUGGCAAGCGUUAUCCGGAAUUAUUGGGCGUAAAGCGCGCGUAGGCGGUUUUUUAAGUCUGAUGUGAAAGCCCACGGCUCAACCGUGGAGGGUCAUUGGAAACUGGAAAACUUGAGUGCAGAAGAGGAAAGUGGAAUUCCAUGUGUAGCGGUGAAAUGCGCAGAGAUAUGGAGGAACACCAGUGGCGAAGGCGACUUUCUGGUCUGUAACUGACGCUGAUGUGCGAAAGCGUGGGGAUCAAACAGGAUUAGAUACCCUGGUAGUCCACGCCGUAAACGAUGAGUGCUAAGUGUUAGGGGGUUUCCGCCCCUUAGUGCUGCAGCUAACGCAUUAAGCACUCCGCCUGGGGAGUACGACCGCAAGGUUGAAACUCAAAGGAAUUGACGGGGACCCGCACAAGCGGUGGAGCAUGUGGUUUAAUUCGAAGCAACACGAAGAACCUUACCAAAUCUUGACAUCCUUUGACAACUCUAGAGAUAGAGCCUUCCCCUUCGGGGGACAAAGUGACAGGUGGUGCAUGGUUGUCGUCAGCUCGUGUCGUGAGAUGUUGGGUUAAGUCCCGCAACGAGCGCAACCCUUAAGCUUAGUUGCCAUCAUUAAGUUGGGCACUCUAAGUUGACUGCCGGUGACAAACCGGAGGAAGGUGGGGAUGACGUCAAAUCAUCAUGCCCCUUAUGAUUUGGGCUACACACGUGCUACAAUGGACAAUACAAAGGGCAGCGAAACCGCGAGGUCAAGCAAAUCCCAUAAAGUUGUUCUCAGUUCGGAUUGUAGUCUGCAACUCGACUACAUGAAGCUGGAAUCGCUAGUAAUCGUAGAUCAGCAUGCUACGGUGAAUACGUUCCCGGGUCU